Molecule: ribosomal RNA, 274 nt
Filed under: uncultured bacterium
Lineage: Bacteria
Description: partial 16S ribosomal RNA
Rfam family: Bacterial small subunit ribosomal RNA
Source: RNAcentral
AUACGGAGGGUGCAGGCGUUACUCGGAAUCACUGGGCGUAAAGCGCGCGCAGGCGGCUAUUUAAGUUGGAUGUGAAAGCCUACGGCUCAACCGUAGAACUGCAUCCAAAACUAUUUAGCUAGAGUGUGGGAGAGGAAGAUGGAAUUAGUUGUGUAGGGGUAAAAUCCGUAGAGAUAACUAGGAAUACCAAAAGCGAAGGCAAUCUUCUGGAACACUACUGACGCUGAGGCGCGAAAGCGUGGGGAGCAAACGGGAUUAGAUACCCUUGUAGUCC